Molecule: ribosomal RNA, 425 nt
Filed under: uncultured Methylocystis sp.
Lineage: Bacteria; Pseudomonadati; Pseudomonadota; Alphaproteobacteria; Hyphomicrobiales; Methylocystaceae
Description: bacterial SSU rRNA
Rfam family: Bacterial small subunit ribosomal RNA
Source: RNAcentral
GCGGCAGGCCUAACACAUGCAAGUCGAACGCCCUAGCAAUAGGGAGUGGCAGACGGGUGAGUAACGCGUGGGAACGUGCCUUUCGGUUCGGAAUAACUCAGGGAAACUUGAGCUAAUACCGGAUACGCCCUUCGGGGGAAAGAUUUAUUGCCGAAAGAUCGGCCCGCGUCCGAUUAGCUAGUUGGUGUGGUAAUGGCGCACCAAGGCGACGAUCGGUAGCUGGUCUGAGAGGAUGAUCAGCCACACUGGGACUGAGACACGGCCCAGACUCCUACGGGAUGCAGCAGUGGGGAAUAUUGGACAAUGGGCGCAAGCCUGAUCCAGCCAUGCCGCGUGAGUGAUGAAGGCCCUAGGGUUGUAAAGCUCUUUCGCCAGGGACGAUAAUGACGGUACCUGGAUAAGAAGCCCCGGCUAACUUCGUGCCA